This is a long non-coding RNA of Podarcis raffonei (Aeolian wall lizard), 2598 nucleotides long. RefSeq lists it as uncharacterized. The record is from RefSeq and is a predicted model, not a curated record. Lineage: Eukaryota; Metazoa; Chordata; Lepidosauria; Squamata; Lacertidae. The transcript is spliced from 2 exons.
AAUAUAAAGAAAGACAUAAUAAAACAUUAAACUUUUUUUUAAAAAACUUCCCUAUACAGGGCUGCAUUCAGAUGGCUUCGGGGGGGGGGGGAGCAUAACUCCAUACCCUCCAAUAUUUCUCCAAUGAAAAUAGGGACGUCCUAAGGAAAAGCAAGACUUUCCAGGAUCUAAUCAGAAACCAGGGUGAUUGGAAAAUAGGAAAAUAUGGACGCUGUCAGGAAUCGCUCCAGGUGACUCAAAAAUGGGUUUCUUUUGAAGACUGGAGGGGAAACAAUCUGAUUUUUGUUGGCUAAAUCAGAUCGACAAUGGGAAUAUUUCUUUCUCUCUUUUGAUAUUUCUCUGCUUGAAAAGAAAUGUCCACAGAUCGAUGGAUGUCCCAUUUUGUGCAGCACUGGUGAGGAUGAAAAAAGUUUUCCUGCCUUUCAAAUAACAAAACGGUGUAACACUAGAAACAAGGCUCCCAUUACUUUGAUGGUUAAAAAACAGACUCUGGGAACAAGCUCACCCCCCCCCCCCUUUCUGAUAUUUUGCAAACUUGGUCCAAAGGGCAGAUAUCACUGGAUGGCAAAGUUCUGGAGGGCUCAGAAUAUAAGCUUUUUGGUCUUUUAUUGCAGCACAUAUAAACUGUACCACAAAACCUCCAAAAUGAAGUUUUAAAUGGAUGGACGGUUGUAGCAUCUACUGGGCUUGCCUCUUUACAGUAUUUUUACUGCUGGUCCUUAAAACCCCACAAACAUCAUCAAAGCAACAUUUUACCUUCCAGCUGACAUAAAGAGAAUUGUUUUCUUGCAAGGAGUCAACGGGAGGUGAUGUUGCAAGGGAAACUGGCUCACAGCUGGUGUUCUGAAAAUGUGGUCUACCCACCCAAAGGAAUCCAAAGCUUAGCCCAGUAUUAGCAACACUGACAGGCAGCUGCCUUAUACCAAGACAAGUGAUCCAUCUAGCUCAGUGUUGUCAACACUGAAACUCUCAAGGGUUUUAGGCAAGGAUGUAGCCAGCCAUUUUUGGAGAUGCCAGGGAUUAAACCUGGGACCUUCUGUGUGCAAAGCAGAUGGUCAACCAUGGAACUAUAGAUGCUCCUGAAGAACAUAGGAAGCUGCCUUAUACUGAGUCAGGCCAUUGGUCCAUCUAGUUCAGUAUUGUCAACACUGACUGGCAGAAGCUCUCCGGGGUUUCAGAGAAGGAUCUUUCUCAGCCAUGCCUGGAGGAUGCCAGGAAUUGAUCCAGGGACUUUUUGCCUGCAAAGUAGAAGCUCUAUCACUGAGCUACAGCCAUUCUUUAAUUACAUUAGAGGAAGGAGGCCUUCUGAGCUGGAUCCAGUGUCAGCAGCACUGGGAUGGCCAGUUAAUAAAUUCAUUGGAUUCUGCCUUACACUGAGUGAGAUUGUUGGCCUGCCUAGCUCAGUAUUGCCUGCACUGGCUGGCAGUGGCUCUCCAGGUUUUCAGACAAGAAAUCCUAGCCCUACAGAGAUGCUGGAGAUGGAAUCUGGAAGUAUUUGGUGAGCUUACAACUCACCUCCCAGCUAGGAAUAACACUGAGCUGAGAUUACCAGUUGCCCUGGAGAUGCAGAACCAAAGUAUAGUGUGGCCACACCCCUCAUCUAGAGCAUGAGCCUUACUAGGUUGCAUCAUCAUGUGGGAUGCUGUACUUGAGGUGCAGGUUAAGAGAGACAGUGUGGUAUAGUAGUUAGAUUUCUGGACUAGUACCUGAGAGACCAGGGUUCAUAACUCAGUCAUGAAGCUCACUGGGUGACCUUGGGCCAUUCACUGCUCCUCAGCUAACCUCACAGAGUUGUUGUGAGGUUAAAAAGGGCAGGGCAGGAAACUAUAUAGAGUUAUCAUUAAUUAUAUUUCUAUGUUAACUUUCUUCCAAGGAGUUGAAGGUGGAAUAUAGAUGAUGAUGAUGAUGAUGAUGAUGAUGAUGAUGGGCCUAAGAAAAGGCACAGAAGCCCAUGGCCACACACACCACUUAUCACCAGAUCUCCAUUUUGUCCUUAUUAAAUCUAUGACAUGCUUGGGAAAAUAGUGCUAAUAAUUCAGCUCCCUGCUAAAGGAUCUUUGAAGCCAGGAGCUUAUUAAAGCAACAAGACUUAGCAUUUCAGUGGCACCUUUUUCUCAAAGAAACCAAAGCCCUUUGCAAACAUUACUUAACUAAAAUGAACAGCACCUCCGGGAUAUGUUGUUAUUCUAUUAUAAUACUAAUAUCGGAGGAAGGCGCAAUGAGAUCCAAGGAAGACAAGGCAAAUUUUCUUAAUGUAAAGUCCUUUAUCUCCCCCCCCACACACACCUCUUAAUAAAUGUCUGUGCAUCUCACGGCCUUGUUUCCUUCAGAUUUUUAAUUCAAGAUGCAUGCAGAAACUUUUAAUGUGCACAGUGUUUUACAUAUUUUGCUCUGCUCAUAUUUUGCUUUACCCCUGUGGAGCGUUGUUGAAACACUCCUGACAACACACAAACCCGACAUCCCACAUCUUCAACUGAUGGGAUUCAAGAUUAUGGAAGUUUUCUUUUGUUGGGGGCGGUGGAAGAUUUGCUUUAAAAAGAAAGAAAAGAAAAUGAACAAUUUCUUUCAAGCUGAAACAAAUAAAGAUUCUGUAAUUUG